CCUACGGGAGGCAGCAGUGGGGAAUAUUGCACAAUGGGCGCAAGCCUGAUGCAGCCAUGCCGCGUGUAUGAAGAAGGCCUUCGGGUUGUAAAGUACUUUCAGCGGGGAGGAAGGUGUUGUGGUUAAUAACCUCAGCAAUUGACGUUACCCGCAGAAGAAGCACCGGCUAACUCCGUGCCAGCAGCCGCGGUAAU
Molecule: ribosomal RNA, 194 nt
Filed under: uncultured bacterium
Lineage: Bacteria
Description: partial 16S ribosomal RNA
Rfam family: Bacterial small subunit ribosomal RNA
Source: RNAcentral